RNAcentral lists this unclassified non-coding RNA (346 nucleotides) under Calliandra surinamensis. Its description in RNAcentral is "partial external transcribed spacer". Lineage: Eukaryota; Viridiplantae; Streptophyta; Magnoliopsida; Fabales; Fabaceae. The record is from RNAcentral.
GGGGUUGCGCACCAGAGGCUGGUUCUUGUGCCUCCUACCCGUCAUGGGGAAGCAGGACACUUGGAACGAAUCCGUCAUGCGCCUCCUGUUGGGCGCAUGAGGACGAUGAGGCGCCCCCGUGUUCCGUCGAACCCUUGUUGGUUGGGCGGCCCAUGGGGGGGCGCAAUGCUCUCUGACCCGGUGAACAUGGCGGACGAGGACYUCGGUCCAAGUCCUAGGUGAAAGCUUCUGCACGAUGUGUGACGGCCGUCCUCGCCACUUGCCCGCCUCGGCGUGCCAAGGGCGAAGGGGGGCGUCCCSAAGGGCCGCUACCUGGUUGAUCCUGCCAGUAGUCAUAUGCUUGUCU